Molecule: ribosomal RNA, 393 nt
Filed under: uncultured bacterium
Lineage: Bacteria
Description: partial 16S ribosomal RNA
Rfam family: Bacterial small subunit ribosomal RNA
Source: RNAcentral
AUACGGAGGAUGCGAGCGUUAUCCGGAUUUAUUGGGUUUAAAGGGAGCGUAGGUGGGAUAUUAAGUCAGCUGUGAAAGUUUGGGGCUCAACCUUAAAAUUGCAGUUGAUACUGGUUUCCUUGAGUACGGUACAGGUGGGCGGAAUUCGUGGUGUAGCGGUGAAAUGCUUAGAUAUCACGAAGAACACCGAUUGCGUAGGCAGCUGACCAGACCGCAAAUGACGCUCAUGCACGAAAGUGCGGGGAUCGAACAGGAUUAGAUACCCUGGUAGUCCGCACAGUAAACGAUGAAUACUUGUUUUCGGCGAUAUAAUGUCGGAGGCAAAGCGAAAGCGAUAAGUAUUCCACCUGGGGAGUACGCCGGCAACGGUGAAACUCAAAUGAAUUGACGGGG